This 314-nucleotide signal recognition particle RNA is filed under the name Vombatus ursinus (common wombat). Its description in RNAcentral is "Metazoan signal recognition particle RNA (ENSVURG00010015678.1)". It matches the Rfam family "Metazoan signal recognition particle RNA". Rfam says of the family: The signal recognition particle (SRP) is a universally conserved ribonucleoprotein. It is involved in the co-translational targeting of proteins to membranes. The eukaryotic SRP consists of a 300-nucleotide 7S RNA and six proteins: SRPs 72, 68, 54, 19, 14, and 9. Lineage: Eukaryota; Metazoa; Chordata; Mammalia; Diprotodontia; Vombatidae. The record is from Rfam by way of RNAcentral.
AGGUAUGGUGGCUCAUGCCCAUAGUCUUUACUACUGGGGACACUGACACUGAUGGAUUGCUUGAGUUUGGGAGUUCUGGGUUGCAGCAGGGCUAAAGCCAACUGGGUCUCUAAACUAAAUCCACCACCAAUAUGGUGAAUCCCUGGAGUCGGAGUGGGGUGGGAGGGAAGACAUCAGGCUGCCUAGGGAGGGGUGAACUGGCCCAGGUCAGAAACAGCAUAGAUCAAAACUUCCAUGCUGUUCAGUGAUGGGGUUGAGCCAGUGAGUGAGCACUGCACUUCUAGUCUGGGUGAGAUAGGAAGACUCAGUCUCAA